This is a long non-coding RNA of Mustela lutreola (European mink), 2295 nucleotides long. RefSeq lists it as uncharacterized. The record is from RefSeq and is a predicted model, not a curated record. NCBI's taxonomy places the organism in Eukaryota, Metazoa, Chordata, Mammalia, Carnivora, Mustelidae. The transcript is spliced from 4 exons.
CAUAGAUAACCCAUUAUUUCAGUACCCACACAUACACACUGGAGUUUAUAGAAAUAUGUGUUGAAUUCCUUUGCAGAGUUUUAUUUAGCACACUUUGGAAAUGUUUGUGUUGAGUUCUGUCACUUAUCAAAGGGGGUGAAUAACAUCCUGUUUCCUCACAGGGAUAUCUAAAGCUACAAGAUCUCCUACAGGCAAACUGCUAUCAUUAUCCUGUUUCAGUUAGAAUCAAGAACUGGUAUUCAUUUCAGCGUCUUUCCUUCCAUUCAGUAGUAAAAAUUUCCAGGAAGCAUGUCACAUGAGCUUAGAAGAUCCAAAGGAAGUAAAAACUUUCCAAAAUGAAAAUUCCGAUUUUGUAGUAAUAAAAGUUUUUCUGAACAUGAAAUAAAUGUUCAUAGGUGUAGCAGGCAGAAUGCCCGGUAAAGACGUCCACAUUCUAAAUCCCUAGAACUUAUGAAUAUGUUAGUUUGCAUGAAAGGGGGAAUGAAGGGUCGCCUGGAUGGCUCUGUUGUUAAGUGUCUGCCUUCAGCUCGGGUCAAGAUCUCAGGGUUCUGGGAUUGAGCCAGGCAUUGGUCUCCCUGCUCUGCUCCCACUCCCCCUGCUGGUGUUCCUGCUCUCACUGUGUCUCUCUCUGUCAAAUAAAUAAUAAAUAAUAAAAUCUUAAAAAAAAAAAAAAAGAAAGAAAGAAAGAAAGAGAAAGGGGAAAUGAAGGACUUUAAAUGGACUUUAAAAUAGGGAAAGUACCAUAGGUUAUCCAGGUGAUCCUAAUGUAAUCACAAGAGUCCUUAAAAGGGGGAAAUAGGAGUAGGGAGAGGAAGUGGAGAACCACAGCCAGUGACAGAGCAGCUUGAGGACUUAGACUGAGGUUGCUGGCUUCGAAGUCAGAAAAGAGCCACAAGCCAACAAAAGCAAGUAGUCUCUAGAAGCUAGAAGAGGCAGGGAUAUGGAUCCUCCCUUGAGCUUCCAGAAGGAGCAGUCUUAUGAAUACCUUGAUUUUAGCCCAGUGAGAUGUACUUCAGACUUCUGACCUACAGAACUAUGAGAAUCCAUCUUCAUCCUGAAGUCAUUUGAUCUCUCCCGCUGAUAUUCCUUGAUUCUAUGAGUCUGUCCUGGAUGAGAACUGCCUACACUGGUUGACAGAGCUGUUACUGAGUGACGUGCACAGGUCUGAGUCCUCACUUGCCCUCAUGUCUCACUCCAUUUUUGCCAGAAUGCAACAAGGGCUUCAAAAGAUGGGACUGAAAAUGGAUAUUCCUGAGAAUUAGAAACAAAUCACAGCAGGGAACUAACAACAUAAAAAUACUUCAAACUGUGAGGAAUUGAAGCAACAGUUCCUGUUGUGAUGUACACAAUGGACACAGCAUGUGAACGGCUAUUAAAAACUGGAAGAAAAAAGGAUGUCUUUGAGAAACAACUUUUUAAAAACCACAGAGAACGCAAACGUCUCAUGAGCAGAGCGCUUAACUGCCACGGAAAAACCUCUGGGGCUGAAAUAGUGAACCCAUGGAAGAAGUUUGAAGUUUGAAUCCCGAAGUAAGUUUUGCCACAACUUGCCCCAUCUCCUGGUGCUCACAAAUCCCUCUCAGUGCAACCAAAAGUCCUCCUACUUCUAUCAGUCCCCAAGAACUACUCGGCCAAGGUUACCAAGUCCACCUCAAAAUCACUUAAGUAUGUAAAACUGGAUAAGGAAGAUAUUGAUCUCUAACAAACACCUUGCACCCCAAACUCCAGCUCGGCAUGUUUCUAAAGAACCCUGCCUGCCAUAGCUGCAGCCAAGAGCUGGAUUACUCAUAACCUGGCUGCUAAUAAGGACCCCUUCACUGGUGGCAGAUGGAGCACAGCAGCCGCUGGCACAAGGAAGAUGUUGCUGCGGCUGAGGUCGAAGAGGUUGCUGCCUGUGUUCUCCUCAAGGAUUUUGAUGGAUUCCUUUCGCACAUUGAGGUCCUUCAUCCAUUUUGAGUCUAUUUUCAUGUGUGGUGUAAGGAAGUGGUCCAAUUUCAUUUUUCUGCAUGUGGCUAUCCAGUUUUCCCAACACCAUUUAUUGAAGAGGCUGUCUUUUUUCCAUUAAAAAAAAAAAGAAGAAGAAAUAGAAAUAAACCACCAUUUUGCACCAAAGACGUCUCAAGAAUUAUUUCUUGGUUGUCAGCUUGGGACUUCACCCCACUGAAUCUCACUUACAUUCUAAAACUUCAUCACUGAGAUAUGGGCAGUGCAUGAACUGGAUAUUGGAGAUAAGUUAUUGAAAAGCCAGCAUUUACUAAGCCUUUGUUAACUAUAGAACUAAGUUUUGUAAACAUG